AACGAACGCUGGCGGCAUGCCUAACACAUGCAAGUCGAACGAGAUCUUCGGGUCUAGUGGCGCACGGGUGCGUAACGCGUGGGAAUCUGCCCUUUGGUUCGGAAUAACAGUUGGAACGACUGCUAAUACCGGAUGAUGACGAAAGUCCAAAGAUUUAUCGCCAGAGGAUGAGCCCGCAUAGGAUUAGCUAGUUGGUGUGGUAAAGGCGCACCAAGGCGACGAUCCUUAGCUGGUCUGAGAGGAUGAUCAGCCACACUGGGACUGAGACACGGCCCAGACUCCUACGGGAGGCAGCAGUGGGGAAUAUUGGACAAUGGGCGAAAGCCUGAUCCAGCAAUGCCGCGUGAGUGAUGAAGGCCUUAGGGUUGUAAAGCUCUUUUACCCGGGAUGAUAAUGACAGUACCGGGAGAAUAAGCUCCGACUAACUCCGUGCCAGCCGCCGCGGUAA
RNAcentral lists this ribosomal RNA (448 nucleotides) under uncultured bacterium. Its description in RNAcentral is "partial 16S ribosomal RNA". It matches the Rfam family "Bacterial small subunit ribosomal RNA", at positions 29 to 523 of the family's 1533-position model. The record is from RNAcentral.